UACGGGGGGGGCAAGCGUUGUUCGGAAUUACUGGGCGUAAAGGGCUCGUAGGCGGCCAACUAAGUCAGACGUGAAAGCCCUCGGCUUAACUGAGGAAGUGCAUCCGAAACUGAGCAGCUAGAGUACGAAAGAGGGUCGCGGAAUUCCCGGUGUAGAGGUGAAAUGCGCAGAUAUCGGGAGGAACACCAAUGGCGAAGGCAGCUCGCUGGGACGGUACUGACGCUGAGGCGCGAAAGCGUGGGGAGCAAACAGG
Molecule: ribosomal RNA, 253 nt
Filed under: uncultured bacterium
Lineage: Bacteria
Description: partial 16S ribosomal RNA
Rfam family: Bacterial small subunit ribosomal RNA
Source: RNAcentral